AAAACAGUGAUGCUCCUGAAUGUCAGCAGGGAGAAUAGUGUUGUACAAGCCUAUGAAACUUGAAAGAAGCUCAGAGACUUUGGAAAUCUCUUUGCCUGACAACCUGUGGGUGUGGCUUCUAGGCUCACAGUCUUAUUUUGUCCAUCUCUGAAUGCACAAAGGAGUACCUGGUGGUGAAUUGCAUUUUAAAAGUUAAGUCUUAUCAUUCCCACUGCACAGAAGAGAAACUCAAGACUCAGAGCACAUCUAACAAUGUGGACAUGGUGUGCACAGAAUCACGCAGAAUACUUACCAAGAGCUGCUAUGUCAAAAUGAUCUGGGAACCGGGUAGUUUGGGGAGCUUUCUAUUCACCAAAAUCUCCUAGCAGCUUUCAUUUCCAUUUCUAGCACUGUAAGAUGAAGGAGUAAAACAAACCAAACACUUCACAUUACCAUUGAAGUCUUCUCUACUCUAAUUAAAUUUGUACUUCAGUGAAUUCUUCAAGUCUUAACUUUUCUGAAGAAGCAAUAGAGGUUAACACUCUUCUUUCAAAAAACCUAGACCCAAAGUCCUUUGUAAGUUUUCUCCAAUACUUAAGUCCUACAUGCCUUUCUGUUUGGUUUCUUGGGCUCUGGGCUUGUGAUGAUAUUUACUUUCACUGCCAGAGGACUACAGGCAGAUUGGAAGAGCUGGCGUGAGAAAGUUAAAGAAAUUCUGCUGAGAAAGAAAAAGUGGAGAGAUAAGACUUACCCAGGACAGAGACAUUUCAUGAGAAAAGUGUUUUAAGCCAAGAAAAUUAAGAUUUAAGGCUGAGCUGGGCAUCUGUAAUGCCAGGUAGUCAGGAGGCUGAGGCAGGAGGAUCAUGAGUUCAAGGCCUUGGGAAACACACUGGACCCUGUCUCAAGAAAAAGAAAAGAAAAAAGCCUGAAACUGAGCCAGGACUGGGGAUCCAAAGCUAAAGGGCUUUUUAUCCAGUUACCAAGAAAGGUGUGCUGACAGUACUAGAUUUUCGGUACAGAAUGGAAAGAAAAUAGCAGUAGCAGGAUGAAACAAAAAUGUAAUUCAUCUUGUCAUACUUUUAUUGAACAUCUACUUUUUAUGAGUAGGCAAGAGAAUAAGAACAAGGGAGGGUCACUUCCUUCAUGUAACUUGCAACUUAGUUUGCAUAACUGCCUGUCCUGUACUUCAGAAGUCUGUAGAAGAACAACUCGUGCUUCAAACUGAGCCAAACUGAAAGACAUAAAACUAACUAUAUUGUGUAUCCCCACAAUUCCAUCAUACAAGAAAAGUGGUGUUCAUUCAGGAGAAGUUUUUUUGUUGUUGUUGUUGGGUUUGUUUUUUUUUUUUUUCCAGGAGACAGUGGGCCAUGUCUAAAGAGAAUUUUAUUUGAUAUAACUGGGAAAAGAGAGGCUUCUAGCAUCUGUGGGUAAAGGCCAGGGAUGCUCCUCAACAUCUUGCUGUGUACAGGACAAACCCCACAGCAAACCCUGAUGUGGCCCAAUAUGUCUGGAGUGCCAAGGCUGAAGAACCUUGCACUAGAGUAAAUGGCUUUGCACACUUUCAGCAACUGAUCAGGCGUGGCCACUGCUUCCUGUGUAGCUUGACGCAUUAUGGGGAUGAGGGUCAUGAUACAAGAAAAGCAAAUGGGGGGAAUGCAUGAGAAAUUCCACCAUUCCUUUGGCCACUGCAGCAGAAAGUUACCCAAGCUGCAAUGAAACAGCUCUGGGAGUUUUUUGUUUGGAUAAAUUUCAUCAGAGUGUGCACUCAGGGAAUACCUGCUCCUCUAAAAUUAGUAGAAGCCAAACAUCAUCAGAUCAGAGGAUAAAUCAGGUGCAAUGAACACCAUAAAACUCUUCCUGAACUAAACAGAAAUGAUUUACACAUCAUGUAUGUCCCUGCCAGCUCCCAGCAGUGUGGCUAAUUGAGAAUGAAUAUUAUCUCCAUCACAGGUGGACAUUUGAAGGGCAAAAUUGGGUUCUGAACUAUAGUUGCUUAUAAGUAAACAAACAAAAGCCAUAUCAUGUUUGUGUGUAUUUUAAGAAGAUUAUAUGCAUCAAUUUACUCCAAAACAUUCAUCAUUAGAAACAAGUUAAAGAUGUGCCA
Molecule: long non-coding RNA, 2083 nt
Organism: Marmota monax (woodchuck)
Lineage: Eukaryota; Metazoa; Chordata; Mammalia; Rodentia; Sciuridae
Exons: 3
Source: RefSeq, a predicted model, not a curated record